GACGAACGCUGGCGGCGUGCUUAACACAUGCAAGUCGAACGCUGAAGCUCAGCUUUUGUUGGGUGGAUGAGUGGCGAACGGGUGAGUAACACGUGAGUAACCUGCCCCCUUCUUUGGGAUAACGCCCGGAAACGGGUGCUAAUACUGGAUAUUCACUGGUCUUCGCAUGGGGGUUGGUGGAAAGGGUUUUUCUGGUGGGGGAUGGGCUCGCGGCCUAUCAGCUUGUUGGUGGGGUGAUGGCCUACCAAGGCUUUGACGGGUAGCCGGCCUGAGAGGGUGACCGGUCACAUUGGGACUGAGAUACGGCCCAGACUCCUACGGGAGGCAGCAGUGGGGAAUAUUGCACAAUGGGCGCAAGCCUGAUGCAGCGACGCCGCGUGAGGGAUGGAGGCCUUCGGGUUGUGAACCUCUUUAGCUCAUGGUCAAGCCGCAACAAUGGUUGUGGUGAGGGUAGUGGGUAAAGAAGCGCCGGCUAACUACGUG
RNAcentral lists this ribosomal RNA (483 nucleotides) under uncultured bacterium. RNAcentral's name for it is "partial 16S ribosomal RNA". It matches the Rfam family "Bacterial small subunit ribosomal RNA", at positions 28 to 507 of the family's 1533-position model. The record is from RNAcentral.